AUAACAAUUGUUUUUAGUCAGUGAUGUAUACUUAGUUAUAUAACUAGAAUGUUCUACAUAGACGUCAUUAAUGUUUUAUAACAGUGUUUGAUGAAAGAGAUCCUGACAAACUCUUCAUCUUCGUUCGUUAUUUAAAUGUGUUUAUGUAACAAAACUUGCAUGGAUAAAAGAUUGAUGUAACCAUAAGAAGAUCCCGACUCACCCUUCACUUUCAUUCAUUAUUUAAAUGUGUUUAUGUAAUAAAACUCACAUCGAUAAAAGAUUGAUGUAACAAAAAGGUAUGUGACAUGUAAAUAACUGAAGCAAGCUUAAUUUGGACGACGAGGUCGUCAGAUAUGAAGUCUUACUUCUACAACAAAGAUGGAAUCAAGAGAAAACAGAAAUCUAUUUUACAUCAGAAGAGUAAUUAAUGUG
This is a long non-coding RNA of Xenia sp. Carnegie-2017, 414 nucleotides long. RefSeq lists it as uncharacterized. Lineage: Eukaryota; Metazoa; Cnidaria; Anthozoa; Malacalcyonacea; Xeniidae. The transcript has 4 exons. The record is from RefSeq and is a predicted model, not a curated record.